This 254-nucleotide ribosomal RNA is filed under the name uncultured bacterium. RNAcentral describes it as "partial 16S ribosomal RNA". It matches the Rfam family "Bacterial small subunit ribosomal RNA", at positions 524 to 776 of the family's 1533-position model. The record is from RNAcentral.
UACGGGGGGAGCAAGCGUUGUUCGGAUUUACUGGGCGUAAAGGGCGCGUAGGCGGUCGUGCCAAGUCACUUGUGAAAUCUCCGGGCUUAACUCGGAACGGUCAAGUGAUACUGUCGGACUAGAGUACAGAAGGGGCAACUGGAAUUCUCGGUGUAGCGGUGAAAUGCGUAGAUAUCAGGAGGAACACCAAUGGCGAAGGCAGCUCGCUGGGACGGUACUGACGCUGAGGCGCGAAAGCGUGGGGAGCAAACAGG